CGAAACCCAAAACCCUCCCACCAAAUUUCAAUGACGCCGUCGAAACCCCCUGGCAAGCGCCGCCGUUCGGCUCCACCUCCGCGCUUGCCCUCACCCGCUCCACCCGUGGCGCUCUCGCCGCCGGGCUUCGUCGCCGACCGCGCCGAGGCCGCGGCGCGCGUGGAGCGCCUCCUGCGGUACCAGUUCUGCGACCGCGCCCUUCUAGAGGAGGCCCUGACCCACCAAUCCUUCUCGGAUGGCGCUCUCUCUUACCAGCGGCUCGAGUUCGUCGGCGACGCCGCUCUCGGCCUAGCCUUCUCUAACUUCCUAUACCUCACCAACCCCACCCUCGGGCCCGGCGCGCUCUCCACGCUCCGCGCCGCCAACAUCUCUACCGAGAAGCUCGCGCGCGUCGCCGUCCGGCACGACCUCUACCCGCUGCUCCGGCGCAAGUGCCCCCGCCUCGACCUACUAGUAGGCCAGUUCAUUGAGUCAGUGAAGCAAGAACUAAUGCAUGACCUUGCCACUGCACCGUAUGGUGGUAGCGUGGUUAAAGCUCCCAAGGUGCUUGCAGAUAUUGUUGAGGCCAUCGCUGCUGCAGUCUACGUUGAUUGCAAAUUUGACCUUGAGAAGCUUUGGAAGGUUACAAGGUGGCUCUUUGAGCCAAUUAUCACAGCAGAAACAAUAGAUGAGCAACCUGUGACUACAUUGCAUGAGUUAUGCCAAAAACAUGGCAAAGUUGCACAGUUCAAGACAUGGCAGAAGGAUGGGAUGAUCGUGGUAAAUGUAUUUGUUGGUGGGGAGAUGGUUGGACUUGGUUCCUCGGAGCAGAAGGUAAUUGCUAAGCUGAAUGCUGCACGAGAUGCACUGGGCAAGCUUAUUGGUGGUGCAAAGCAGCAAGUGUUGAUCAAUUGUGCCGCCAAUGGAUUGGUGGAUGACAUUGCAGAGCUUAGGGAGUGUAAACAGAAACUUAUUGAGCAGUGCAUCAGAAAACAUUGGCCAAAACCUAUCUUUAAGGGAGGGAGUCAGCCGGCUAGGGAUAGCUACCGCUUCUUCCAGACACGGUGCCAGCCUGCCAGGGUGUGGCCGGCUCUGGGCCUCACUGGGCCCUCAUUCUUUAGCCAUGGAUCGACCCAUGACAUCACUCCAUUUUUUGCUGGUUCCAUUGGAAGGAUGAGCCAUAUUGGUAAGUCCUUUGUGUGCACACUGAGGCGGCCUACCACCAUGGCUGAGGUGGAUAUGCCUCGUCCUGCCGAUGAUGAGGUGGAAGAUGUAGUGUAAGGAGCUGAUGCAGCCGUGGAAAAACUUGUUUGCUGUUGAGGUUAUGACAUUGCAGUGGACGAAUGGAGUUCCUGGGGCAUCAAUGAUGGUAUGGGAACACCUGCUUCUAGUGGUAGCAUUUGCAUGGUUAGGAGGUGGGGGAAGGGGGGUGCGGUGGGAGGGGCAAGUGACGUAUGUAGCCUGCCACUCAGGCAUAUGGUGCCACUGUGGGUUGGUGUAAUAGUGAGGCCGAGGAAGAUGCUGUCAUGGUAGUAGUUGGAUGGUGAGAUGACUGGCCAUCCUGUCUCUGUUGAGGUCGAUGGAGAUGUCGUCGAUGCUGAGGAACCAGCAUCCAGCAUCGUCGAAGAAGACCCUGUUGACAGUGUGUACGAUGCGUUGUGGCCACACCUCUGCCAUCCUUAUGCUUGCUGGCUGGGUGUGUGGUAGCAUAGUUGCUAGUUGCUGUUUGUGGCAUGGAGGCCAGGGUGCAAAGGUUCUUGAACUGACCCACACAUAGCAGGGAUUCCACCAAGUUUUGGAACAGGGUUGAUGAAGCAUAGCGCUGGCAUGUCCUAGACGGCUUGCCUGAUUUGCUCAAAGAUUGUGAGGCGGGGGUAGAUUGUGUUGAAGGCGUUGCUCCUGCUGGUGGCGGUGCAGCCGUUGGAGAAGCUCAGAGGCGUGCCUGGUUUCAUGCAGGUGGUUGUGGAGGUGCCUGGUGCUGCUGACCUGCUGUAGUUUGGUGCUGCUGACCUGCUGUAGGGGUGUUUGGUGCUGCUGCUAGGUGUGCGCGAUGGAGCUGAUGUGGGGGUGCCUGGUGGUGGUAUAGCUCUGUCGAGGUUUGUGCAGGAGGUGGUGGGGCCAUAGCUGGUAGAGCGAGUAUUGAUCUUGGAGCUGAAUGUUGGUAGACUCCCAUGACGUUCACUGUCCUAUCAUUUCGCCAGAAUCUCAUCGCAUGAGGUGGUGGGGCUGAGAGAAGCCAACCAUGGUGUGCCGAGGAUGACAUCGGUGUCGUUGCUGAGGGUCGCCAGGAAGGCACUGGAAGGUCUUGUUGCUGUUGCGAAGCAGGAUGCUGAAGGAGGCUCCCCAACAGGGGGACAUGACUAGCUGCCAUUGUCGACGUGAUUCUCAACCAGUGAACUUCAAGGGAGUCUACGAUAGCCCUGUCGACGUGAUUCUCAACCAGUCAUGUGAUCCUCCCAUGAUCCUAGUGAAUUGGCGUUCUCGUCUCUAACCGUGGUUGUCUCCUUGCCCGCCGAUCCGUUCGAGACUCCCCAAGAACGCACGCUGCUCGUGGGCAAGCCAUUUCCCUAUCGUGUCCAUAUAUCUAGGUUGACACGAUCCAUAUUGCUGGUCCUCAUGCUAGCUCUUAGUUCGAGUCCGAUGUUGUUGCUGAUGUUGUAGAUGGAGGACGUGUGAGUGCUCAUCGAUAUGCCCUGUCGGAUCAUUUUCAUGCUAUGGUUGUCUGUGGGAAGCUAGUGAUUAUUUGUCUUUGUAGAGGCUUUGACUUUUGGUUCCUUCCAUGGCUUCAACCAUGUCCACCUCAAGUUUAGCUACUUUGGUGACUAAAAGGGCAAUCAUUUACAUGAGCUACUUGAUUUCUGUUCCAGUCACAACAUCUACAUUGUGAUGUUGCCUUGACUACGGGGGAUGUUUUAGUCUUCGACUUCUCCAGAUUAGAAAAAGAAGGUGGCCCUGCACAUGAAAGGAACUUUGUGUGUUCUGUUCAGGUAGAUACCCAAACUGGCACUUUUGUAACCAUAGGUGAAUCUAUGUCAAGAGUUAAGGAUGCAGAGAAUUCGGCUGCGCAUAAGAUGGUCGAACUAUUGUUGAAAUUGUGAGAUAUAUUCAUGUACAUGGCUAGAUCUUUGGUAUACCUCUUUCGAGAAACAAUUUGUUCAAGGAUACCUAUUAUGGUAGCUUUGUCAUUACAUGGAUAGAUCUUUAGCCCUCUCGAGAAACAAUUUGUUCAAGUACACCUAUUAUGGUAGCUUUGUCAUAGUGUGGGUCAUGUCAUCUAGUUAAUACGGUUUAUAAUUGAGCAUUUAUCUCAAAUCAUGUCUUUUUAUAAUGCAUGAUUCUAGACAACUUAGUUUUAGAAUAGGGUAAGGAGACGGGUUUAACUAUCAAAACCAAUGCCUAUAUAGUUAUUGUUUUGUACUGUCCUGUUUUACAUUAAUAUUAUAUAAAAUAUCAUGAAGCGUGGAAUA
Zea mays is the source of this 3446-nucleotide RNA transcript. It is a transcript of the gene named Ribonuclease 3-like protein 2, with no coding region annotated. The transcript is spliced from 5 exons. The record is from RefSeq and is marked validated. Lineage: Eukaryota; Viridiplantae; Streptophyta; Magnoliopsida; Poales; Poaceae.